Molecule: ribosomal RNA, 503 nt
Filed under: uncultured bacterium
Lineage: Bacteria
Description: partial 16S ribosomal RNA
Rfam family: Bacterial small subunit ribosomal RNA
Source: RNAcentral
GAUGAACGCUAGCGGCAGGCCUAACACAUGCAAGUCGAGGGGUAGCAGGAUUAAGCUUGCUUAAUUGCUGACGACCGGCGCACGGGUGCGUAACGCGUAUGCAACCUACCUUAUACUGGGGUAUAGCCCGGAGAAAUUCGGAUUAAUCCCCCAUAGUACUAAUGAAUCGCAUGGUUUAUUAGUUAAAGCAUUGCGGUAUAAGAUGGGCAUGCGUCCCAUUAGCUAGAUGGUGAGGUAACGGCUCACCAUGGCUACGAUAGGUAGGGGGCCUGAGAGGGUGGUCCCCCACACUGGUACUGAGACACGGACCAGACUCCUACGGGAGGCAGCAGUGAGGAAUACUGGUCAAUGGGCGCAAGCCUGAACCAGCCAUGCCGCGUGCAGGAAGAAUGCCCUAUGGGUUGUAAACUGCUUUUAUUUGGGAAUAAACCUCUUUACGUGUAGAGAGCUGAAGGUACCAAAUGAAUAAGCACCGGCUAACUCCGUGCCAGCCGCCGCUGUAA